RNAcentral lists this ribosomal RNA (644 nucleotides) under uncultured bacterium. Its description in RNAcentral is "bacterial SSU rRNA". It matches the Rfam family "Bacterial small subunit ribosomal RNA", at positions 202 to 842 of the family's 1533-position model. The record is from RNAcentral.
GAAAGCCCUACGGGGCGGGCGGGGAUGGGCAUGCGGCGCAUUAGGAAGACGGCGGUGUGACGGACCACCGUUCCGACGAUGCGUAGGGGUUCUGAGAGGAAGGCCCCCCACACUGGUACUGAGACACGGACCAGACUCCUACGGGAGGCAGCAGUGAGGAAUAUUGGUCAAUGGCCGGAAGGCUGAACCAGCCAAGCCGCGUGAGGGAGGAAGGCGCAGAGCGUCGCAGACCUCUUUUGCCGGGGGACAAAAGGCCGGACUCGUCCGGUCCUGAGGGUACCCGGAGAAAAAGCAUCGGCUAACUCCGUGCCAGCAGCCGCGGUAAUACGGAGGAUGCGAGCGUUAUCCGGAUUCAUUGGGUUUAAAGGGUGCGCAGGCGGGCCUUUAAGCCGGCGGUGAAAUCGCGGGGCUCAACCCCGCCGAGCCGUCGGAACUGGGGGCCUUGAGUGCGGCGGAGGCAUGCGGAAUGCGCGGUGUAGCGGUGAAAUGCAUAGAUAUCGCGCAGAACCCCGAUUGCGAAGGCAGCGUGCCGUGCCGCCACUGACGCUGAGGCACGAAAGCGCGGGGAUCGAACAGGAUUAGAUACCCUGGUAGUCCGCGCCGUAAACGAAGGAUGCUGGGUGUCCGGGGCGUUCAGGCCCUGG